RNAcentral lists this ribosomal RNA (801 nucleotides) under uncultured Pelagibacteraceae bacterium. RNAcentral describes it as "bacterial SSU rRNA". It matches the Rfam family "Bacterial small subunit ribosomal RNA", at positions 38 to 887 of the family's 1533-position model. Lineage: Bacteria; Pseudomonadati; Pseudomonadota; Alphaproteobacteria; Candidatus Pelagibacterales; Candidatus Pelagibacteraceae. The record is from RNAcentral.
GGCGGCACGCCUUAUACAUGCAAGUCGAACGAAGUAGCAAUACUUAGUGGCAGACGGGUGAGUAACAUGUAGGUAUCUUCCCUUUGGUGAGGAAUAACACGAGGAAACUUGUGCUAAUACCUCAUAAGUCUUCACGGAGAAAGCUUUAUGCGCCGAAGGAUGAGCCUGCACUUGAUUAGUUUGUUGGUGGGGUAAUGGCCUACCAAGACUGUGAUCUAUAGCUGAUCUGAGAGGAUGAUCAGCCACAUUGGGACUGAGACACGGCCCAAACUCCUACGGGAGGCAGCAGUAGGGAAUAUUGCACAAUGGAGGAAACUCUGAUGCAGCGAUGCCGCGUGAGUGAAGAAGGCCUUUGGGUUGUAAAGCUCUUUCGUCGGGGAAGAAAAUGACUGUACCCGAAUAAGAAGGUCCGGCUAACUUCGUGCCAGCAGCCGCGGUAAUACGAAGGGACCUAGCGUAGUUCGGAAUUACUGGGCUUAAAGAGUUCGUAGGUGGUUAAAAAAGUUGGUGGUGAAAUCCCAGAGCUUAACUCUGGAACUGCCAUCAAAACUUUUUAGCUAGAGUAUGAUAGAGGAAAGCAGAAUUUCUAGUGUAGAGGUGAAAUUCGUAGAUAUUAGAAAGAAUACCAAUUGCGAAGGCAGCUUUCUGGAUCAUUACUGACGCUGAGGAACGAAAGCAUGGGUAGCGAAGAGGAUUAGAUACCCUCGUAGUCCAUGCCGUAAACGAUGUGUGUUAGACGUUGGAAAUUUAUUUUCAGUGUCGCAGCGAAAGCAUUAAACACACCGCCUGGGGAGUACGACC